UGGAAACUNUCUGACUUGAGUGCAGAAGGGGAGAGUGGAAUUCCAUGUGUAGCGGUGAAAUGCGUAGAUAUAUGGAGGAACACCAGUGGCGAAAGCGGCUCUCUGGUCUGUCACUGACGCUGAGGCUCGAAAGCGUGGGUAGCGAACAGGAUUAGAUACCCUGGUAGUCCACGCCGUAAACGAAGAGUGCUAGGUGUUAGGCCCUUUCCGGGGCUUAGUGCCGGAGCUAACGCAAUAAGCACUCCGCCUGGGGAGUACGACCGCAAGGUUGAAACUCAAAGGAAUUGACGGCGGCCCGCACAAGCGGUGGAGCAUGUGGUUUAAUUCGAAGCAACGCGAAGAACCUUACCAGGUCUUGACAUCCCGAUGCUAUUCUUAGAGAUAGGAAGUUACUUCGGUACAUCGGAGACAGGUGGUGCAUGGUUGUCGUCAGCUCGUGUCGUGAGAUGUUGGGUUAAGUCCCGCAACGAGCGCAACCCUUAUUGUUAGUUGCCAUCAUUAAGUUGGGCACUCUAGCGAGACUGCCGGUAAUAAACCGGAGGAAGGUGGGGAUGACGUCAAAUCAUCAUGCCCCUUAUGACCUGGGCUACACACGUGCUACAAUGGUCGGUACAACGAGUUGCGAGCCGGUGACGGCAAGCUAAUCUCUGAAAGCCGAUCUCAGUUCGGAUUGGAGGCUGCAACUCGCCUCCAUGAAGUCGGAAUCGCUAGUAAUCGCGGAUCAGCACGCCGCGGUGAAUACGUUCCCGGGCCUUGUACACACCGCCCGUCACACCACGAGAGUUUGUAACACCCAAAGUCGGUGAGGUAACCA
This 814-nucleotide ribosomal RNA is filed under the name uncultured bacterium. Its description in RNAcentral is "bacterial SSU rRNA". It matches the Rfam family "Bacterial small subunit ribosomal RNA", at positions 627 to 1441 of the family's 1533-position model. The record is from RNAcentral.